UAGGGAAUCUUCGGCAAUGGGGGGAACCCUGACCGAGCAACGCCGUGUGAGUGAAGAAGGCUUUCGGAUCGUAAAGCUCUGUUGUUAAGGAAGAAUGAGUGUGAGAAUGGAAAGUUCAUGCUGUGACGGUACUUAACCAGAAAGGGACGGCUAACUACGUGCCAGCAGCCGCGGUAAUACGUAGGUCCCGAGCGUUGUCCGGAUUUAUUGGGCGUAAAGCGAGCGCAGGCGGUUAGAAAAGUCUGAAGUGAAAGGCAGUGGCUCAACCAUUGUAGGCUUUGGAAACUGUUUAACUUGAGUGCAGAAGGGGGGAGUGGAAUUCCAUGUGUAGCGGUGAAAUGCGUAGAGAUAUGAAGGAACACCGGUGGCGAAAGCGGCUCUCUGGUCUGUAACUGACGCUUAGGCUAGAAAGCGUGGGGAGCGAACAGG
RNAcentral lists this ribosomal RNA (429 nucleotides) under Bacteroidota bacterium. RNAcentral's name for it is "Bacteroidetes bacterium partial 16S ribosomal RNA". It matches the Rfam family "Bacterial small subunit ribosomal RNA", at positions 355 to 776 of the family's 1533-position model. Lineage: Bacteria; Pseudomonadati; Bacteroidota. The record is from RNAcentral.